AAUUCCGUCCAAGGCUAAA
Molecule: small nuclear RNA, 19 nt
Filed under: Arabidopsis thaliana (thale cress)
Lineage: Eukaryota; Viridiplantae; Streptophyta; Magnoliopsida; Brassicales; Brassicaceae
Description: snRNA_01302
Source: RNAcentral